Molecule: ribosomal RNA, 466 nt
Filed under: uncultured bacterium
Lineage: Bacteria
Description: partial 16S ribosomal RNA
Rfam family: Bacterial small subunit ribosomal RNA
Source: RNAcentral
CUACGGGAGGCAGCAGUGGGGAAUAUUGGACAAUGGGGGAAACCCUGAUCCAGCAAUGCCGCGUGUGUGAAGAAGGCCUGCGGGUUGUAAAGCACUUUCGGUUGGGAGGACUGCUUCUAGCACUAAUAUUGUUGGAAGUUGACGUUACCUUCAGAAGAAGCACCGGCUAACUCCGUGCCAGCAGCCGCGAGUAAUACGGAGGGUGCAAGCGUUAAUCGGAAUUACUGGGCGUAAAGCGCGCGUAGGCGGCUAGAUCAGUCGGGUGUGAAAGCCCCGGGCGUAACCUGGGAACUGCAUCCGAUACUGUCUAGCUUGAGUACAGGAGAGGAGAGUGGAAUUCCACAUGUAGCGGUGAAAUGCGUAGAUAUGUGGAGGAACACCAAUGGCGAAGGCAGCUCUCUGGCCUGAUACUGACGCUGAGGUGCGAAAGCGUGGGGAGCAAACAGGAUUAGAUACCCCGGUAGUC